CCUAGGGGAGGCAGCAGUGGGGAAUAUUGCACAAUGGGCGCAAGCCUGAUGCAGCCAUGCCGCGUGUAUGAAGAAGGCCUUCGGGUUGUAAAGUACUUUCAGCGAGGAGGAAGGUGUUGAGGUUAAUAACCUCAGCAAUUGACGUUACCCGCAGAAGAAGCACCGGCUAACUCCGUGCCAGCAGCCGCGGUAAU
Molecule: ribosomal RNA, 194 nt
Filed under: uncultured Erwinia sp.
Lineage: Bacteria; Pseudomonadati; Pseudomonadota; Gammaproteobacteria; Enterobacterales; Erwiniaceae
Description: partial 16S ribosomal RNA
Rfam family: Bacterial small subunit ribosomal RNA
Source: RNAcentral